This 285-nucleotide long non-coding RNA is filed under the name Gallus gallus (chicken). Its description in RNAcentral is "long non-coding RNA NONGGAT001216". The record is from RNAcentral. Lineage: Eukaryota; Metazoa; Chordata; Aves; Galliformes; Phasianidae.
GGAAGGGGAACAGAAGCACGGUGAUCAGGAAAGGAGGAUGUUGCUGCCUGAUUCAGUGUAUUACUGUGAUCUGGGGCUGAUGGGAUGGAAUGGAAGAGGACUCCGUCUUUAGAGCGAAUUUGGGGUGAUUUAGAGCAAAUCCAGAACUCUGAUGCUUAACGAGGCACUGUUGAAGCGGAGCGGUGUUCAUAACAUCACAUCUGCGUUGGUUUUCUGUUACACCUGGAAUACUGACAAAAAUAUAAGUCCUGCGCUCUUCAGCAGAAGCCUUUUCUAGUGUCCACG